AUAUAUAUAUAUGUAUUUAGAAAUAAGCAGAUGUUGUAUAAAUGCUAAUGAGACCACUUUCCAACGAAGUUACAAUGUGUAAAAUGUAAACAAUUAUAGGGAAAAGUACGGUCUUCAACACCGAGUCUUAAAUUUCACUGAAGAACAACUUAUAAAGGUCCCAAAAAUUACUAGCGUAAAAUAAUUCAAACAGUAAAAAAGCAACGGACUAAUCUAUAUAACAAUCGAGAAACGAGACAUACUGAUACACAUAAUCAACAAACGACACCAUUGUACAACAGGUUUCAGAUUAAGGACAGAUACAGAAGAAAUGCAGAGUAGUUUAAACGUUUUAAAAGGUGUCGACCUUCACCAUAACCUGGAAUAGUAGUGGAAG
This 376-nucleotide long non-coding RNA is filed under the name Mytilus galloprovincialis (Mediterranean mussel). The record is from RNAcentral. Lineage: Eukaryota; Metazoa; Mollusca; Bivalvia; Mytilida; Mytilidae.